GACACGAGGUGCUGCAGUGGCUGUCGUCAGCUCGUGUCGUGAGAUGUUGGGUUAACGUCCCGUAACGAGCGCAACCCUUGUCCUUAGUUACCAGCACGUUAUGGUGGGCACUCUAAGGAGACUGCCGGUGACAAACCGGAGGAAGGUGGGGAUGACGUCAAGUCAUCAUGGCCCUUACGGCCUGGGCUACACACGUGCUACAAUGGUCGGUACAAAGGGUUGCCAAGCCGCGAGGUGGAGCUAAUCCCAUAAAACCGAUCGUAGUCCGGAUCGCAGUCUGCAACUCGACUGCGUGAAGUCGGAAUCGCUAGUAAUCGUGAAUCAGAAUGUCACGGUGAAUACGUUCCCGGGCCUU
RNAcentral lists this ribosomal RNA (355 nucleotides) under uncultured Pseudomonas sp. RNAcentral's name for it is "bacterial SSU rRNA". It matches the Rfam family "Bacterial small subunit ribosomal RNA", at positions 1030 to 1382 of the family's 1533-position model. Lineage: Bacteria; Pseudomonadati; Pseudomonadota; Gammaproteobacteria; Pseudomonadales; Pseudomonadaceae. The record is from RNAcentral.